This 666-nucleotide ribosomal RNA is filed under the name uncultured bacterium. Its description in RNAcentral is "bacterial SSU rRNA". It matches the Rfam family "Bacterial small subunit ribosomal RNA", at positions 94 to 791 of the family's 1533-position model. The record is from RNAcentral.
AGCGGCGGACGGCUGAGUAACGCGUGGGAACAUACCCUAAAGUGAGCGAUAACUACUCGAAAGAGUGGCUAAUACCGCAUAUGAUCUUCGGAUUAAAGCAUUUAUGCGCUUUAGGAAUGGCCUGCGUACGAUUAGAUAGUUGGUGAGGUAAAGGCUCACCAAGUCGACGAUCGUUAGAUGGUUUGAGAGGAUGAUCAUCCAGACUGGGACUGAGACACGGCCCAGACUCCUACGGGAGGCAGCAGUAGGGAAUCUUUCACAAUGGGCGAAAGCCUGAUGGAGCAACGCCGCGUGCAGGAUGAAGGCCUUCGGGUUGUAAACUGCUUUUAUAAGCGAGAAAUAUGAUGGUAACUUAUGAAUAAGGAUCGGCUAACUACGUGCCAGCAGCCGCGGUCAUACGUAGGAUCCGAGCAUUAUCCGGAGUGACUGGGUGUAAAGAGUUGCGUAGGUGGCAUAAUAAGUAGCUAGUGAAAUCUGGUGGCUCAACCAUUCAGACUAUUAGCUAAACUGUUGAGCUCGAGACCGUUAGGGGUAACUGGAAUUUCUAGUGUAGGAGUGAAAUCCGUAGAUAUUAGAAGGAACACCGAUAGCGUAGGCAGGUUACUGGGACGGUUCUGACACUAAGGCNCGAAAGCAUAGGGAGCAAACGGGAUAAGAUACCCUGGU